Molecule: ribosomal RNA, 492 nt
Filed under: Triticum aestivum (bread wheat)
Lineage: Eukaryota; Viridiplantae; Streptophyta; Magnoliopsida; Poales; Poaceae
Description: partial small subunit ribosomal RNA
Source: RNAcentral
AUGAUGUGCGGUUUCAGUACUACUAGGUGUGAGGAGGAGGUUAGCCUUGAUGGCCAGGUGGUACCUCAGAAGGACACCUUUCGGUAUUUGGGGUCAAUGCUGCAGGAGGAUGGGGGUAUUGAUGAAGAUGUGAACCAUCGAAUCAAAGCCGGAUGGAUGAAGUGGCGCCAAGCUUCCGGCAUUCUCUGUGACAAGAGAGUGCCACAAAAGCUAAAAGGCAAGUUCUACAGGACGGCGGUUCGACCCGCAAUGUUGUAUGGCGCUGAGUGUUGGCCGACUAAAAGGCGACAUGUUCAACAGUUAGGUGUGGCGGAGAUGCGUAUGUUGAGAUGGAUGUGUGGCCACACGAGGAAGGAUCGAGUCCGGAAUGAUGAUAUACGAGAUAGAGUUGGGGUAGCACCAAUUGAAGAGAAGCUUGUCCAACAUCGUCUGAGAUGGUUUGGGCAUAUUCAGCGCAGGCCUCCAGAAGCUCCGGUGCAUAGUGGACGGCUA